RNAcentral lists this transfer RNA (79 nucleotides) under Burkholderia pseudomallei 1710a. RNAcentral describes it as "tRNA-Pro". It matches the Rfam family "tRNA". Rfam says of the family: Transfer RNA (tRNA) molecules are approximately 80 nucleotides in length. Their secondary structure includes four short double-helical elements and three loops (D, anti-codon, and T loops). The record is from RNAcentral. Lineage: Bacteria; Pseudomonadati; Pseudomonadota; Betaproteobacteria; Burkholderiales; Burkholderiaceae.
UCGGAGCGUAGCGCAGCCUGGUAGCGCAUCUGAUUUGGGAUCAGAGGGUCGUAGGUUCGAAUCCUAUCGCUCCGACCAC